AAGCUUCUGGGAAUAUGGGCGAGCCCUUUCAGCCGUCGGAUCGAGAUGGCUCUCAAACUCAAAGGGAUACCGUACGAUUACGUUGAAGAAAUAUUGGAGCACAAAAGCCCUUUGCUUCUUGCACUCAACCCCAUCCACAAGAAGGUCCCUGUUCUUGUCCACAAUGGCAAAACCAUUCUCGAGUCUCAAGUGAUUCUUGAAUACAUCGAUGAGACUUGGAAACAGAAUCCACUUCUCCCUCAGGAUCCUUACGAGAGAUCCAAGGCUCGAUUCUUAGCUAAACUCGUCGAUGAGCAGGUACGUAUAUAUAUAUAUGUAUUCUUACUAAUUGUUUGUUUAUUUUAUUUUAUUAAUUGUUUUUAAUCUUUAUCUGUACUGUAGAUCAUCACUGCGGGUUUUGUAUCAAUGGCAAGAGCAGACGAGAAAGGAAGAGAGGCUUUGGCCGAGCAGACAAGAGAACUGAUUAUGAAUCUGGAGAAGGAACUUGUCGGAAAAGAUUUCUUCGGUGGUAAGAGUGUCGGGUUUUUGGAUUUGGUCGCCGGAAGUAUGAUUCCGUUUUGUUUGGAGAG
This 569-nucleotide long non-coding RNA is filed under the name Brassica rapa (field mustard). RNAcentral describes it as "long non-coding RNA (BRAP_LNC001924)". Lineage: Eukaryota; Viridiplantae; Streptophyta; Magnoliopsida; Brassicales; Brassicaceae. The record is from RNAcentral.